Molecule: long non-coding RNA, 203 nt
Filed under: Neodiprion pinetum (white pine sawfly)
Lineage: Eukaryota; Metazoa; Arthropoda; Insecta; Hymenoptera; Diprionidae
Description: uncharacterized LOC124215047
Source: RNAcentral
UCCGUAUAUGAGACAGUCUUUAACACAAUGUCCUGAUUUAAAGACCUAAAAAGAACGGCAGCGUUAUUAGCUGACCCGUUAACUGGAGAAUACAUCUUUAGUAGACGGCUGACCAUCGAAGGGCUUAGCCGCUUGAGUCUGGAAUCGGCAGGAAAGAUAAAUAAUCAGCUAGCCAAAUUCCUCAGUCUGGAAACAACCGCGCA